RNAcentral lists this ribosomal RNA (272 nucleotides) under uncultured bacterium. Its description in RNAcentral is "partial 16S ribosomal RNA". The record is from RNAcentral.
CUGCUGCCUCCCGUAGGAGUCUGGGCCGUGUCUCAGUCCCAGUGUGGGGGGCCUUCCUCUCAGAACCCCUACGCAUCGUCGCCACGGUGGGCCGUCACCCCGCCGUCUAGCUAAUGCGCCGCAUGCCCAUCCGCCACCGGAUCGCUCCUUUGGCCACCGGAGGAUGCCCUCCGGUGGCGUCACGGGGUAUUAGGCCGCGUUUCCGCGGGUUAUCCCCCUGUGGCGGCCAGGUUGCAUACGUGUUACUCACCCGUGCGCCGGUCGCCGGCGGG